GACGAACGCUGGCGGCGUGCUUAACACAUGCAAGUCGAACGAGAGGACAUGGGAAGCUUGCUUCCUAUGAAAUCGAGUGGCAAACGGGUGAGUAACGCGUAAACAACCUGCCCUUCGGAUGGGGAUAACAGCCGGAAACGGCUGCUAAUACCGAAUACGAUCUUUUCGUCGCAUGACGGAAAGAAGAAAGGAUGGCCUCUAUACAAAGCUAUCGCCGAAGGAGGGGUUUGCGUCUGAUUAGCUGGUUGGAGGGGUAACGGCCCAACAAGGCGAUGAUCAGUAGCCGGUCUGAGAGGAUGAACGGCCACAUUGGGACUGAGACACGGCCCAGAC
This 333-nucleotide ribosomal RNA is filed under the name uncultured Bacillota bacterium. RNAcentral's name for it is "bacterial SSU rRNA". It matches the Rfam family "Bacterial small subunit ribosomal RNA", at positions 28 to 336 of the family's 1533-position model. Lineage: Bacteria; Bacillati; Bacillota. The record is from RNAcentral.